This 1470-nucleotide long non-coding RNA is filed under the name Hordeum vulgare. RNAcentral describes it as "long non-coding RNA (HVUL_LNC001851)". The record is from RNAcentral. Lineage: Eukaryota; Viridiplantae; Streptophyta; Magnoliopsida; Poales; Poaceae.
CCGGUCCCACAGCCAGACGAGACCUUGCAGCCGGCGGGCCCCUCCAACGACAAGACAAGACCCCGUGGGCCCCCUGGCCAGCCGGCGAUGCUGCCAGCCGGGUCCCACUCUUGUACCUUUUAUCCAUAUUGUAGGUCGGUGGGUUCGUCUAUAAAACCCCCCGGCCCCCUCCAUGCAGAGGGUCGGUCAACUCAGCACACACACCAACCACAUAGGAGAGGCAGACGCGAGCCGGCGGCUCCUUCUUCCUCCUCUGCAAUACAGCUCCAGGAGCACUUUGUAGUCCCAUUCAUACAUCAUACACUCCGGCAGGAUUAGGGGUGUUAUCUCUACGGAGAUCCAUGAACCUGGGUACAUCGUGUGUUCCAUGCUUGUACCAACCUCGUUCCCAGCGUCCUCUGGUACCACUUCGGUUCCCACCAUCUUUAGCCUACCCAUGGCUUAUGUUGUGAGUAAACACCGACAAAUCGAAAUGGCAAAACCCUCGUCAAGACAAGCAUGAGGAAAAAUAAACUUCACAACCAAUGAGUGCAUCAAGAUGCAAGGAUAUAAGAUCCGCACUCAAGACAAAUCCUUUCACGAAACCACCAAAAAAACUGAAAAAGAAAAUGCAACGGUGGACGUGAAAGAAAAAAGGAUAUCAAUUAGAGAUGUAACUUCUCUCAUGUGUAAAAGAUUCUAGGUAGAAGACAAUCAUGAUGAUAUAUAUCCACAAAGAAGGAUUUACUCAAGAAAUAGUUACAAGAAGGAAGAAACAAGAUAUCCAAAAGGAAGUCAUAAAUAUACCAAUAAGAUCUUUGCUUGAAAGCAUAGCACAUGGCCUAAUAAUUUAUUAUUGUACAUAAAUGAACUUCCGACUUACGAACAUCAAAGACAUCACAACUAGCAAUAAGACAUCAUCGUUGGGAUGCUUUGAGAAAGGAAACAAGUACCACAAGAACGAAUCAAGAAAUUCCUCCCAUGAUGCAACCUACAAAAGGUUGAAUGCAAGAAAUGUAUGCAUGAAGUAGAUACUUUUACAGAGAUAGCAUUGGAUUGAUGUAGUAGAUAAUUGUUCGCUGAUCAUCCUAACUUGCUCCAAUAAGCACAUGGUGUCAAACUCUUCCUUGUAAGUGAGCCCAGCAUCCAAGGCAUCUCCAAUUGUUCCUAGAAUAGCAACACAAACAAAAUGGUGCCCAAACUCAUUGGGAACAAAUAGUUAGACAACCAACGAUGCAUACGACAAACUCCACAUAAAUAUGUGCAUAUGGAUAUGAUAUUGAAUUUAAUGCACACUUUAGCGAAUUUAUGACAUGGUGGAGUUUCCCCUAUAUAUUGGGCCAGAGAAAGAAAACAUGCCAAAGAAGGUACAUAUAGUAAAUAUGCAUGCUCAAGGCUUUCAAGAAUCAAAUCAACACAUAGUUGAUAAGAUACCAAAAUACAAGUUAUCAGGAGGGAAUAACAUACCAAACUAAAAAGUUAUCACUUGAA